Molecule: ribosomal RNA, 628 nt
Filed under: uncultured bacterium
Lineage: Bacteria
Description: bacterial SSU rRNA
Rfam family: Bacterial small subunit ribosomal RNA
Source: RNAcentral
CUAAUACCGCAUAAGCCCACGACCCGGCAUCGGGUAGAGGGAAAAGGAGCAAUCCGCUUUGAGAUGGCCUCGCGUCCGAUUAGCUAGUUGGUGAGGUAAUGGCCCACCAAGGCGACGAUCGGUAGCCGGACUGAGAGGUUGAACGGCCACAUUGGGACUGAGACACGGCCCAGACUCCUACGGGAGGCAGCAGUGGGGAAUAUUGCACAAUGGGGGAAACCCUGAUGCAGCGACGCCGCGUGGAGGAAGAAGGUCUUCGGAUUGUAAACUCCUGUUGUUGAGGAAGAUAAUGACGGUACUCAACAAGGAAGUGACGGCUAACUACGUGCCAGCAGCCGCGGUAAAACGUAGGUCACAAGCGUUGUCCGGAAUUACUGGGUGUAAAGGGAGCGCAGGCGGGAAGACAAGUUGGAAGUGAAAUCCAUGGGCUCAACCCAUGAACUGCUUUCAAAACUGUUUUUCUUGAGUAGUGCAGAGGUAGGCGGAAUUCCCGGUGUAGCGGUGGAAUGCGUAGAUAUCGGGAGGAACACCAGUGGCGAAGGCGGCCUACUGGGCACCAACUGACGCUGAGGCUCGAAAGUGUGGGUAGCAAACAGGAUUAGAUACCCUGGUAGUCCACACUGUAAAC